AUUUGUUUAGUAUAUUAGUAUAUUUGACUUCCAAUCAAAAGGACUGGAAAAUUUCAGAACAAAUA
Molecule: transfer RNA, 65 nt
Filed under: Anax imperator (emperor dragonfly)
Lineage: Eukaryota; Metazoa; Arthropoda; Insecta; Odonata; Aeshnidae
Also listed under: 1 other name
Description: tRNA-Gly
Rfam family: tRNA
About the family: Transfer RNA (tRNA) molecules are approximately 80 nucleotides in length. Their secondary structure includes four short double-helical elements and three loops (D, anti-codon, and T loops). Further hydrogen bonds mediate the characteristic L-shaped molecular structure. tRNAs have two regions of fundamental functional importance: the anti-codon, which is responsible for specific mRNA codon recognition, and the 3' end, to which the tRNAs corresponding amino acid is attached (by aminoacyl-tRNA synthetases). tRNAs cope with the degeneracy of the genetic code in two manners: having more than one tRNA (with a specific anti-codon) for a particular amino acid; and 'wobble' base-pairing, i.e. permitting non-standard base-pairing at the 3rd anti-codon position.
Source: RNAcentral